This 253-nucleotide ribosomal RNA is filed under the name uncultured bacterium. RNAcentral describes it as "partial 16S ribosomal RNA". It matches the Rfam family "Bacterial small subunit ribosomal RNA", at positions 524 to 776 of the family's 1533-position model. The record is from RNAcentral.
UACAGAGGGUGCAAGCGUUGCUCGGAAUCAUUGGGCGUAAAGGGUAGGUAGGUGGUCUCAUUUGUCGGGGGUGAAAGCCUUGGGCUUAACCCAAGAAGUGCCCCUGAAACGGUGAGACUCGAGUAUUGGAGAGGCAAGUGGAAUUCCCGGUGUAGCGGUGAAAUGCGUAGAGAUCGGGAGGAACACCAGAGGCGAAGGCGGCUUGCUGGACAAUUACUGACACUCAACUACGAAAGCGUGGGGAGCAAACAGG